AUAACCUUUCUUCAACUUUCUUCUCUCCUUACCUCUAAAAACGUUUCGCACAAGCUGAGUAGUGGUUUGACACCAAGGACACGUCUCCGAACUUCAUCAAGAUCCUUGUUUAAUCCCAUCAGGAAUUUAAAUACCCACUUAUGCUCCGUGAUUGUCUUGAAGAGUUUGGCAUCGGCUGAGCAAUUCCAUUGAUGUUCUUCGAAGACGUCCAAUUGUUGCCAACUACGAGUUAGGAGAUUGUAGUACUGAGUUACGCUCAGUUCGCCCUGUUGCAGUUCGUGGAGUAUUGAUUCAACUUCAAAAAUAGCGGACGUUUUUUCCUCGCUAGAGUAAAAUUCUUGAGCUGUUUCUCAUAUCUCUUGUGCAGUCUUAUAGAGUAGGAAAUUUUCUCCGAUUUCAGGUGUCAUUGAGUUCACGAGUCAGGGCAUGACCAUACUGUUCUCAAUCUUCCAUAAGCGAGCAUUCGGGUCAUUCGGAGAAGGAGGGGUGAGUUCUCCAGUGAGGUGUCCGUCGUGCCCUUUACCCCGGAUGAAUAACAGAUAGGAUGAUGACCACUGUAAGCAGUUGUCUCCAUUUAGCUUAUGUUCGGUGAUAAACAACGUAGAUGAUUCUCCUAAGCCAUGAGUGACUUGUGUUGGAAGGUAAGAACCCGAGGUGACUUCGGGUGGAGAGGAUGGAAGCUCAUCCAUCACCAUUUGUGUAUGUGGC
RNAcentral lists this long non-coding RNA (708 nucleotides) under Carica papaya (papaya). Its description in RNAcentral is "long non-coding RNA (CPAP_LNC001414)". Lineage: Eukaryota; Viridiplantae; Streptophyta; Magnoliopsida; Brassicales; Caricaceae. The record is from RNAcentral.